UUUCAUAUGUUGCUUGCUACGCAAUCCCAGUCAUUUUCAGCAAGCAACUCGGCAAUUUUCCCUCGGCUCCCGCUGUGCUCCCAGGCCUCCGACAUGGGAGGCUUGAGCCGGGGUCGCGCACUCUUCACCUGGUGCGGUGCCCACCACAACAUUGUUUGCGGGCGGGUGCACCAGAUCGGCACCCUGGCCCUCAUCGCCGCCAUUCCGUCUUCCUCCCUUUAUCCGCUGUUUCCGGCGAAACUUCGUUCGGCACGCUCUUUCCUCGCUCCAGUUUCCUCUCUUGGCCUCACCGGGGCUACGGGACUUCUUUCUCCCUGAGUAUCUAUAUCUACGAGGAGAGCGAGUUAGUUGUGCUCCGUGAGCUGAUGCGCGGGUGAGGCGGCAAGAUCUCAGUGGAGUCCUGCGUCAAGGGCCAGUGGGGUACGCAGUGAACCUUCUCAGUUAUUGCUUCCAUUCAAUAAGAUUGCAGGAUGACCACACCAUUUUUAAAGCUUGGAACAACUAUAUUAGUUGCAUCAGAAAAUCCACUCACACGCCUCUGGGGGACCGCACUGAUAAACGACCAUUAAGCUCUUUUCAUACGUGGAAAGAUAUAGUCAUCCCUGGUAAUGUUGAUGAUGGGCUGACUGCGUUCUAUGGUUCAAGGAUAGUCCAACCACUCCCCUUGUCAAAGAGGUAGACUGGCAAACUUGUUAGGCCGGGACCAGUGAAAGUUUGGUUGUCUUCAAUUAUUGGAACUUGCCAAAAAAUACCCAGAGAAGAUAUCAUGCAUAAUGAUUUUCUGAACAGUUGGAAUCUCCAGAAUUGCAACUCACUGGCCCUAAUAAGUUGGAAGGGUUGUGACAUCCAGGACACUCCGCUUUUAUGAAUCAUUGUUGUGGACUGCGUUCCUGUUAUCCUAUCAGACCAGGUAGAACUUCCAUUCCAGAAUGUGAUUGAUUAUACUCUGAUAUCCAUCAAAUAGCCAUCAACACAAAUUGGCCCCCAGCUGCUGGAAUAUCUGGAAUCCAUACCAGGUUGGUUAAUAUGAGGCGAUUGAAGGCAUGAUAGCUGGAGGCAGAGAAGUGAGGUGCCAUUGGGUAUAUGUUUCAGAAUCAAAAAAUUAUUCUAUCAUGACUCCAAUGUAGAGAUGUGUUCGGUAGUCCAUUGACACGUGGCUUUAAAGACCCACACUCAAAUCUCCAAAAAUAAUAAAGAAAUCGCGCGCGCUUGGCCCAGCUUGACCCGAAUCUUUAUUCGUAAAAGCUUCCAGGGAAAGGUGAGGAGAUUCCAUCAGUCUGUAGAAACCUUUUGGCUAAAAAUGUUAUUUUAGUAAAUAACCCUUUUGUGCUCGGAGCUGCGGCUCGGUGGUUCGCUUGUUUGAUUUUGUGAAGUUAGGAGGAAAACUUGCUCAAGAUUAAAAUAAGGAUUUACGUGCAUGCCCCACAAUUAAUUUGUAUUUACCUUUGUAGUUAU
Molecule: long non-coding RNA, 1455 nt
Organism: Phalaenopsis equestris
Lineage: Eukaryota; Viridiplantae; Streptophyta; Magnoliopsida; Asparagales; Orchidaceae
Exons: 6
Source: RefSeq, a predicted model, not a curated record